Molecule: ribosomal RNA, 1010 nt
Filed under: Staphylococcus warneri
Lineage: Bacteria; Bacillati; Bacillota; Bacilli; Caryophanales; Staphylococcaceae
Description: bacterial SSU rRNA
Rfam family: Bacterial small subunit ribosomal RNA
Source: RNAcentral
GCUCCUUUGACGUUAGCGGCGGACGGGUGAGUAACACGUGGAUAACCUACCUAUAAGACUGGGAUAACUUCGGGAAACCGGAGCUAAUACCGGAUAACAUAUUGAACCGCAUGGUUCAAUAGUGAAAGGCGGCUUUGCUGUCACUUAUAGAUGGAUCCGCGCCGUAUUAGCUAGUUGGUAAGGUAACGGCUUACCAAGGCAACGAUACGUAGCCGACCUGAGAGGGUGAUCGGCCACACUGGAACUGAGACACGGUCCAGACUCCUACGGGAGGCAGCAGUAGGGAAUCUUCCGCAAUGGGCGAAAGCCUGACGGAGCAACGCCGCGUGAGUGAUGAAGGUCUUCGGAUCGUAAAACUCUGUUAUCAGGGAAGAACAAAUGUGUAAGUAACUGUGCACAUCUUGACGGUACCUGAUCAGAAAGCCACGGCUAACUACGUGCCAGCAGCCGCGGUAAUACGUAGGUGGCAAGCGUUAUCCGGAAUUAUUGGGCGUAAAGCGCGCGUAGGCGGUUUUUUAAGUCUGAUGUGAAAGCCCACGGCUCAACCGUGGAGGGUCAUUGGAAACUGGAAAACUUGAGUGCAGAAGAGGAAAGUGGAAUUCCAUGUGUAGCGGUGAAAUGCGCAGAGAUAUGGAGGAACACCAGUGGCGAAGGCGACUUUCUGGUCUGUAACUGACGCUGAUGUGCGAAAGCGUGGGGAUCAAACAGGAUUAGAUACCCUGGUAGUCCACGCCGUAAACGAUGAGUGCUAAGUGUUAGGGGGUUUCCGCCCCUUAGUGCUGCAGCUAACGCAUUAAGCACUCCGCCUGGGGAGUACGACCGCAAGGUUGAAACUCAAAGGAAUUGACGGGGACCCGCACAAGCGGUGGAGCAUGUGGUUUAAUUCGAAGCAACGCGAAGAACCUUACCAAAUCUUGACAUCCCUUUGACUGCUCUAGAGAUAGAGUCUUCCCCUUCGGGGGACAAAGUGACAGGUGGUGCAUGGGUUGUCGUCAGCCCGUGUCGUGAGA